AUUGAACGCUGGCGGCAUGCCUUACACAUGCAAGUCGAACGGUAACAGGUCUUCGGAUGCUGACGAUUGGCGGACGAGUGAGUAAUACAUCGGAACGUGCCCGAUCGUGGGGGUUAACGAGGCGAAAGCUUUGCUAAUACCGCAUACGAUCUACGGAUGAACGCGGGGGAUCUUCGGACCUCGCUCGGGCGGAGCGGCCGAUGGCAGAUUAGGUAGUUGGUGGGAUAAAAGCUUACCAAGCCGACGAUCUGUAGCUGGUCUGAGAGGAUGAUCAGCCACACUGGGACUGAGACACGGCCCAGACUCCUACGGGAGGCAGCAGUGGGGAAUUUUGGACAAUGGGCGAAAGCCUGAUCCAGCCAUGCCGCGUGCAGGAUGAAGGCCUUCGGGUUGUAAACUGCUUUUGUACGGAACGAAAAGCCUCUUUCUAAUAAAGAGGGGUCAUGACGGUACCGUAAGAAUAAGCACCGGCUAACUACGUG
This 482-nucleotide ribosomal RNA is filed under the name uncultured bacterium. RNAcentral describes it as "partial 16S ribosomal RNA". It matches the Rfam family "Bacterial small subunit ribosomal RNA", at positions 30 to 507 of the family's 1533-position model. The record is from RNAcentral.